UACGAAGGGGGCUAGCGUUGUUCGGAAUCACUGGGCGUAAAGCGUAUGUAGGCGGAUCAAAAAGUUAGGCGUGCAAGCCCGUGGCUCAACCACGGAAUUGCGUUUGAAACUGCUUAGCUUGAGUACAGGAGAGGAAAGCGGAAUUCCCAGUGUAGCGGUGAAAUGCAUUGAUAUUGGGAAGAACAUCUGUGGCGAAGGCGGCUUUCUGGUCUAUUACUGACGCUGAGAUACGAAAGCCAGGGGAGCGAACGGG
This 253-nucleotide ribosomal RNA is filed under the name uncultured bacterium. Its description in RNAcentral is "partial 16S ribosomal RNA". It matches the Rfam family "Bacterial small subunit ribosomal RNA", at positions 524 to 776 of the family's 1533-position model. The record is from RNAcentral.